UACGGGGGGGGCAAGCGUUGUUCGGAAUUACUGGGCGUAAAGGGCUCGUAGGUGGCCAACUAAGUCAGACGUGAAAUCCCUCGGCUUAACCGGGGAACUGCGUCUGAUACUGGAUGGCUUGAGUUUGGGAGAGGGACGCGGAAUUCCAGGUGUAGCGGUGAAAUGCGUAGAUAUCUGGAGGAACACCGGUGGCGAAGGCGGCGUCCCGGACCAACACUGACACUGAGGAGCGAAAGCCAGGGGAGCAAACGGG
This 253-nucleotide ribosomal RNA is filed under the name uncultured bacterium. Its description in RNAcentral is "partial 16S ribosomal RNA". It matches the Rfam family "Bacterial small subunit ribosomal RNA", at positions 524 to 776 of the family's 1533-position model. The record is from RNAcentral.